This 1011-nucleotide long non-coding RNA is filed under the name Macaca mulatta (Rhesus monkey). Its description in RNAcentral is "lncRNA (ENSMMUG00000049736.1)". Lineage: Eukaryota; Metazoa; Chordata; Mammalia; Primates; Cercopithecidae. The record is from RNAcentral.
GGGGACGGUUCCUGCUCGCGUUGGGCGCACUAUGGCGCGCUGGGCUGCUGCUCCUCGGCCUGCUCCGCCCUCUGGUGGCCGCCCCUGGUGACCCAGCACCCCUUGAUCCCCCCAAACCAAAGCCAGAUCCAAACCCCAACUGACCUGGUUUCACUGGGGCUGACUUUGACUUAGCAGAUGCCUUUGGUGGUGGAGGAAACCGUGACCCAGCACCGCCUGAUCCCCCAAACCAAAGCCAGAUCCAAGCCCCAACCGACCUGGUUUCACUGAUAAGAGCCUCUAACCCUCCGGGUGGUCUCUAUGUCGUUUACCCGGCAGUGAUGUUCAUGUCAUCUGAGAAGAGGAGAUUUCAGGGGCUGACUUGGACUUCGCAGAUGCCUUUUAUGGUGGAGGAAAUCGCUUGAGAGCAGUGGCUCGAUCUCAGCUCACUGCAACCUCCACCACCCAGGAUCAAACGACUCCCCUGCCUCUGCCUCCCAAGCAGCUCAACUUCAGCACCUCAUUCUUUGUCUAAGCCAAGUUUAGCCGAAGAAAACACCUGCCGAGAAGAGGUCCCAAAGCAAAGAAACAAAAGCCCCGCAGAGUUCACCCAGAAGGAAAGCCUUCAUUGGAUCAGGCUAUAAGAGGACUCUCCCCUGAGAAAGAUACUUAUUUUGGCGCUGUGUUUAGAGAAAAGGGAAGAACGAUGGCUUUCCCGUAGAAACAUUUACUUAUUUCAUGAUUUGAAAAUGGACUUUUAUGUUUUAGGAAUUAUGUGGAUGGGAUGUUUUCUUGGGUGAUAGGAUUUGAAAUUGCAGAGGGGAGCAGGUGCCAUGUGCCAGCAAUGGCCGGCCAGUCUGCCUGCCUUCCUGCCUGCCUCCCUCCCUCCCUCCCUCCCUCCAUUUCUCCUUCCCCCCACCCCGUUUCUUCCUUCUUUCUCUCUGUGUUUCUUCUUUCUUUUCUUUUCUUCUUCCUCCCUCCCUCCCUCCCUCCCUUCCUUCCUCCCUCUCUCUCUCUCUCUUUCACUUUGUU